This 465-nucleotide ribosomal RNA is filed under the name Vreelandella stevensii. RNAcentral describes it as "partial 16S ribosomal RNA". It matches the Rfam family "Bacterial small subunit ribosomal RNA", at positions 338 to 795 of the family's 1533-position model. Lineage: Bacteria; Pseudomonadati; Pseudomonadota; Gammaproteobacteria; Oceanospirillales; Halomonadaceae. The record is from RNAcentral.
CCUACGGGUGGCUGCAGUGGGGAAUAUUGGACAAUGGGCGAAAGCCUGAUCCAGCCAUGCCGCGUGUGUGAAGAAGGCCUUCGGGUUGUAAAGCACUUUCAGUGGGGAAGAAAGCCUUGGGGCUAAUACCCUCGAGGAAGGACAUCACCCACAGAAGAAGCACCGGCUAACUCCGUGCCAGCAGCCGCGGUAAUACGGAGGGUGCGAGCGUUAAUCGGAAUUACUGGGCGUAAAGCGCGCGUAGGCGGUCUGAUAAGCCGGUUGUGAAAGCCCCGGGCUCAACCUGGGAACGGCAUCCGGAACUGUCAGGCUAGAGUGCAGGAGAGGAAGGUAGAAUUCCCGGUGUAGCGGUGAAAUGCGUAGAGAUCGGGAGGAAUACCAGUGGCGAAGGCGGCCUUCUGGACUGACACUGACGCUGAGGUGCGAAAGCGUGGGUAGCGAACAGGAUUAGAUACCCCAGUAGUC